This 3175-nucleotide long non-coding RNA is filed under the name Homo sapiens (human). Its description in RNAcentral is "non-protein coding lnc-GNG13-1:1". The record is from RNAcentral. Lineage: Eukaryota; Metazoa; Chordata; Mammalia; Primates; Hominidae.
CAGAGGUCACCACCACGCAGCAGAGACAGGUGUCCUGUGGGCGGUGCAGAGGUCACCACCACGCAGCAGAGACAGGCGUCCUGUGGGCAGUGCAGAGGUCACCACCACGCAGCAGAGACAGGCGUCCUCACAGGCAGUGCAGAGGUCACCACCACGCAGCAGAGACAGGCGUCCCCACGGGCAGUGCAGAGGUCACCACCACACAGCAGAGACAGGCGUCCUGUGGGCGGUGCAGAGGUCACCACCACGCAGCAGAGACAGGCGUCCUGUGGGCGAUGCAGAGGUCACCCCACGCAGCAGAGACAGGCGUCCCCACGGGCAGUGCAAAGGUCACCACCACACAGCAGAGACAGGCGUCCUGUGGGCAGUGCAGAGGUCACCACCACACAGCAGAGACAGGCGUCCUGUGGGCAGUGCAGAGGUCACCACCACGCAGCAGAGACAGGCGUCCUGUGGGCGAUGCAGAGGUCACCCCACGCAGCAGAGACAGGCGUCCUGUGGGCGAUGCAGAGGUCACCACCACACAGCAGAGACGGGCGUCCCCACAGGCAGUGCAGAGGUCACCACCACGCAGCAGAGACAGGCGUCCCCACGGGCAGUGCAAAGGUCACCACCACACAGCAGAGAUAGGCGUCCUGUGGGCGAUGCAGAGGUCACCACCACGCAGCAGAGACAGGCGUCCUGUGGGCGAUGCAGAGGUCACCACCACGCAGCAGAGACAGGCGUCCUGUGGGCGAUGCAGAGGUCACCACCACGCAGCAGAGACGGGCGUCCCCACAGGCAGUGCAGAGGUCACCACCACACAGCAGAGACAGGCGUCCCCACGGGCAGUGCAGAGGUCACCACCACGCAGCAGAGACAGGCGUCCCCACGGGCAGUGCAGAGGUCACCACCACACAGCAGAGACAGGCGUCCUGUGGGCAGUGCAGAGGUCACCACCACGCAGCAGAGACAGGCGUCCUGUGGGCAGUGCAGAGGUCACCACCACGCAGCAGAGACGGGCGUCCCCACAGGCAGUGCAGAGGUCACCACCACACAGCAGAGACAGGAGUCCUGUGGGCAGUGCAGAGGUCACCACCACGCAGCAGAGACAGGCGUCCUGUGGGCAGUGCAGAGGUCACCACACUGAGCCAGACUGUCCUCGGCCUUCCCUGGGUUGAGCACCGGAUGAAAACCAUGUGCUUUGAGCCCUGGAAAGACAAUCAGCCCAGCCAGAGCCAGAGCCUGAAACAGGCAGCCCCCAGGGCGCAGCUGCAGGAAGCCGCAUCCUCUCGUGGGCUCCAGCAAGGCGGGGGACGCUGUGUUCCCUCAGUGGCUUCUUGGUGCCCCUUGAUGUCCAGGAGUGUGAGGUGAGGUGAGGGCUCUGAGCUGGGAAGCUGACAAGUCAGGGAGAAUGCCAGGCCAGACGCAUCGGCCUGCGGGGGCUGGAGCAGAGCCUGGCACUCACUGUACUUGCUCCGUCUCACUCCGGCUGCUGCGCUGGCCCAGGGCUGUCCACCCCAGGCGUGUGGCAGAGCAAGCCUGGCUCCCAGAGCUCCCCUCAGGCCCUGGAGCGGCAGGCAGUGGGCAUCCUCAGCCCAACCCAUGUCCGUGCCAUGCACAGGAUAGCUGAGCUUGCCGCUGCCACAGGGUGUCAGCGGGUUGGGGCAACAGACAGGGCCCCAGUGCUGGUGGCCAGGCUGGCUGUAUGUGUGGGUUGGCUGCCACCUGACUGCACUGAAACAAGAACCACCCCCACCCCACCCCCCACUGCUCUCCACCCGGUUCGGGGCCGGCCCUGGCUGGGCUUCGUGGAUCCUCAGGUUGUGCGGGUCAUGGCUUCCUGGGGCUGGGCCAGAGCCAUCAUGGAGUCAGCACGGUUCCUUGCAGACACAGGCGGGGCAGGCGGCGCCUCUCCACCUUCCUUGCCUCAAGCUGCGGGGACAGCACCAAAAAGCCACGUGGACCCAGAUGGCCUCGCCGGACUUCCUGACUCAGGGCUGUCUCCAGCCUACAUCCCACCGGGGCUGCACGCACAGACGGCUUCUCCUGGAGCCCUGGAGCAUUUCCCCCGUGUUUCGGCCAGGUUUUCUGCUUUAAAUGAGUUUAUUUCAGUCGUGUCAAAGUGAAGGUCUCUUUCACUCAGGACGUGAUCAAUGGCGUGGCCAUCAAGUCACAGCGUUGAAGGCAACAGAUGGCCUUUAAUGACGCUAUUUUAAAAAAUAAUUUCCCCUUUCUUUCCCCAUCCUGGUUUUGUGAGGACAGAGCAUCGGCAUCUCAGGGCGGGGGUGGGUCUGCCUACUCUGUGGCCAGCACGCAGCAGAUCCCUGUAGGUGGAGCCCCACAGCUCUGUGUCCCGGCACCUCUGUGCCACCUGCACAGGGGCAGAGGGUGGGUUUUCCGUGACGCCCCCUGGAGCCAAACCACCGUUGAUCACUUCCUCCUGAUGAACUGGGCUGUGUUGGGGUGCAGAGGUCUCGGUUGCGUAUGUUCUGGGAAUUGAGCCAGGGUCCUUGUUGCUGGGAAUUCUCAGACCUGGACAAUAUCAGUAGAGGAGACCACUUGAUUUUUAGUUUGACCCCUGGAGAAUUGAAAAGCUGGAAAUCUGUUUUCUGUACCUUCCCCCUCCCAACCCUCCCCCGACUCCCUACCUGGCUUCUGUCUGGAGAGGACGUCUGCAUGGCUGUCCUGGGGUGGCUGCAGGUGUGCAGAUGCUCACCGCCACUGUCUCCCCAUUCCUGCUGGAGCCCACUUUGGUGUGAGUGUUUGCCUGGCAGAGGCAUCGCAGGCCCACGGGAGGAUAAAGAGAAGCCAGAGAACUCAUAAUUCCAAAAGCUGGCAAAGUUAAAACGUGAUGUCUGGCCGGGUGCAGUGGCUCACACCUGUAAUCCCAGCACUUUGGGAGGCUGAGAUGGGCAGAUCACCUGAGGUCAGGAGUUCGAGACCAGCCUGGCCAACAUGGUGAAAUCCCGUCUGUACUAAAACACACACACACACACACACACACACACACACACACACACACACACACACAUAAAAAUUAGCAGGUAUGCUGGCGGGCGCCUGUAAUUCCAGUUAUUCAGGAGGCUGAGGCAGGAGAAUUGCUUGAACCUGGGAGGCGGAGGUUGCAGUGAGCCAAGAUCGUGCCAUUGCACUCCAGCCUGGGCAACAGAGUGAGACUCCAGCUCAAAAAAAU